This 433-nucleotide ribosomal RNA is filed under the name uncultured bacterium. RNAcentral's name for it is "partial 16S ribosomal RNA". It matches the Rfam family "Bacterial small subunit ribosomal RNA", at positions 29 to 507 of the family's 1533-position model. The record is from RNAcentral.
AACGAACGCUGGCGGCAUGCCUAACACAUGCAAGUCGAACGAGACCUUCGGGUCUAGUGGCGCACGGGUGCGUAACGCGUGGGAACCUGCCCUUAGGUUCGGAAUAACUCCCCGAAAGGGGUGCUAAUACCGGAUAAUGUCUUCGGACCAAAGAUUUAUCGCCUUUGGAUGGGCCCGCGUUGGAUUAGCUAGUUGGUAGGGUAAAAGCCUACCAAGGCGACGAUCCAUAGCUGGUCUGAGAGGAGGAUCAGCCACACUGGGACUGAGACACGGCCCAGACUCCUACGGGAGGCAGCAGUGGGGAAUAUUGGACAAUGGGAGAAAGCCUGAUCCAGCAAUGCCGCGUGAGUGAUGAAGGACUUAGAGUUGUAAAGCUCUUUUACCCGGGAUGAUAAUGACAGUACCGGGAGAAUAAGCUCCGGCUAACUCCGUG